GGGUCAGUAGGUUGGUCGUGCCACCGGUACGUACUGGUCUCACUGAAUCCUCCUUCCUGAAGAACCGUAACGCCAUUAAUUUGGUGUUGCGGGGAAACAGGACUGUUACUUUGAAAAAAUUAGAGUGUAUAAAGCAAGCUAACGCUUGAAUACAUUAGCAUGGAAUAAUGAAAUAGGACGAUCGAUCCUAUUUUGUUGGUUUCUAGGAUUGACGUA
This 216-nucleotide ribosomal RNA is filed under the name Glomeromycotina sp. RNAcentral describes it as "partial small subunit ribosomal RNA". The stretch from base 75 to 216 matches the Rfam family "Eukaryotic small subunit ribosomal RNA", at positions 721 to 864 of the family's 1831-position model. Lineage: Eukaryota; Fungi; Glomeromycota. The record is from RNAcentral.